RNAcentral lists this ribosomal RNA (403 nucleotides) under Nematoda environmental sample. RNAcentral's name for it is "SSU rRNA". It matches the Rfam family "Eukaryotic small subunit ribosomal RNA", at positions 29 to 436 of the family's 1831-position model. Lineage: Eukaryota; Metazoa; Nematoda. The record is from RNAcentral.
UGCUUGUCUCAAAGAUUAAGCCAUGCAAGUCUAUGCACAAGCCGACUACGGUGAAGCCGCGAAUGGCUCAUUACAACAGCCACCGUUUACCUGAUUCUGAUUUCCUACUCGGAUAUAUGUGGUAAUUCUAGAGCUAUACAUGCAACCAAGCUCCGACCGUAAGGGACGAGCGCAUUUAUUAGAACAAAACCAUCGGGCUUCGGCCUGAGGUUUGGUGAAUCUGAAUAACUGAGCUGAUAGCAUGGUCUUUGUACCGGCGACUCAUCUUCAUGUGUCUGCCUUAUCAACUUUCGAUGGUAGUUUAUGUGCCUACGAGGGUUGUAACGGGUAACGGAGAAUAAGGGUUCGACACCGGAGAGGGAGCCAGAGAAACGGCUACCACAUCCRAGGAAGGCAGCAGGCA